This 435-nucleotide ribosomal RNA is filed under the name uncultured microorganism. RNAcentral describes it as "bacterial SSU rRNA". It matches the Rfam family "Bacterial small subunit ribosomal RNA", at positions 9 to 443 of the family's 1533-position model. The record is from RNAcentral.
GAGUUUGAUCUUGGCUCAGGACGAACGCUGGCGGCGUGCUUAACACAUGCAAGUCGAACGGUAAGGCUCCAGCUUGCUGGGGUACACGAGUGGCGAACGGGUGAGUAACACGUGGGUGACCUGCCCUGCACUUCGGGAUAAGCCUGGGAAACUGGGUCUAAUACCGGAUAGGACCGCACCGUGAGGGUGUGGUGGGAAGUUUUUUCGGUGUGGGAUGGGCCCGCGGCCUAUCAGCUUGUUGGUGGGGUAAUGGCCUACCAAGGCGGCGACGGGUAGCCGGCCUGAGAGGGUGGACGGCCACAUUGGGACUGAGACACGGCCCAGACUCCUACGGGAGGCAGCAGUGGGGAAUAUUGCACAAUGGGCGGAAGCCUGAUGCAGCGACGCCGCGUGGGGGAUGACGGCCUUCGGGUUGUCGAAACUACCUUUCUACCA